UGGCCUGUGCUCACCUGUGUGGGUGUC
This 27-nucleotide non-coding RNA is filed under the name Rattus norvegicus (Norway rat). Lineage: Eukaryota; Metazoa; Chordata; Mammalia; Rodentia; Muridae. The record is from RNAcentral.